GAGAGUGGAUGGGGCCCGGUGGUCCUCACGGUCUUCAAAAUCGCUGGGCGGCGUGACGAGCGUCGCCGGUGGGUUCGACUCCCACGCACUCUCGCCA
Molecule: transfer RNA, 97 nt
Filed under: Herpetosiphonaceae bacterium
Lineage: Bacteria; Bacillati; Chloroflexota; Chloroflexia; Herpetosiphonales; Herpetosiphonaceae
Description: tRNA-Sec
Rfam family: Selenocysteine transfer RNA
Source: RNAcentral